CACGUAGGGGGCGAGCGUUGUCCGGAUUUAUUGGGCGUAAAGAGCUCGUAGGCGGCUUGGUAAGUCAGGUGUGAAACCUCCAGGCUCAACCUGGAGACGCCACUUGAUACUGCCAUAGCUAGAGUCCGGUAGGGGAGCGUGGAAUUUCUGGUGUAGCGGUGAAAUGCGCAGAUAUCAGAAGGAACACCAGCGGCGAAGGCGGCGCUCUGGGCCGGAACUGACGCUGAGGAGCGAAAGCGUGGGUAGCAAACAGG
This 254-nucleotide ribosomal RNA is filed under the name uncultured bacterium. Its description in RNAcentral is "partial 16S ribosomal RNA". It matches the Rfam family "Bacterial small subunit ribosomal RNA", at positions 524 to 776 of the family's 1533-position model. The record is from RNAcentral.